This 200-nucleotide ribosomal RNA is filed under the name uncultured bacterium. RNAcentral describes it as "partial 16S ribosomal RNA". It matches the Rfam family "Bacterial small subunit ribosomal RNA", at positions 524 to 713 of the family's 1533-position model. The record is from RNAcentral.
UACGUAGGGGGCUAGCGUUGUCCGGAAUCAUUGGGCGUAAAGAGCGUGUAGGCGGCCCGGUAAGUCCGCUGUAAAAAGUCAAAGGCUCAAACCUUUGAAUGUCAGUGGAUACUGCCGGGCUAGAGUCCGGAAAGAGGCGAGUGGGAAAUUCCCUGGGUGUAGCGGUGGAAAUGCGCAGAUAUCAGGAAGGAAACAACCCC